Fundulus heteroclitus (mummichog) is the source of this 210-nucleotide long non-coding RNA. RefSeq lists it as uncharacterized. The transcript is spliced from 4 exons. NCBI's taxonomy places the organism in Eukaryota, Metazoa, Chordata, Actinopteri, Cyprinodontiformes, Fundulidae. The record is from RefSeq and is a predicted model, not a curated record.
GAAGGACUCCUGUGGAAGAUCUUGAUUCCUCCUUCUUGACUUUUGUGCAACCGAUUCCAGAAAGGAGAUCGAGCACAGAGGAGACCGAGCCCUUUAAAAAGAGUCACAUGGUGACUGAGCUCUUUGGAGAGACACCACAGACUGCAUCAACAGCUGAGACCUCAGCAAAAACACAGAUUGAAGUUAUAAAGGGCUCUGGAGUGUUUUGCC